This 462-nucleotide ribosomal RNA is filed under the name uncultured bacterium. RNAcentral describes it as "partial 16S ribosomal RNA". It matches the Rfam family "Bacterial small subunit ribosomal RNA", at positions 338 to 795 of the family's 1533-position model. The record is from RNAcentral.
CCUACGGGUGGCAGCAGUGAGGAAUAUUGGUCAAUGGACGCAAGUCUGAACCAGCCAAGUAGCGUGCAGGAUGACGGCCCUCCGGGUUGUAAACUGCUUUUAGUUGGGAAUAAAAGGGGGCUCGUGAGCCCCGUCUUGUAUGUACCAUCAGCAAAAGGACCGGCUAAUUCCGUGCCAGCAGCCGCGGUACUACGGAAGGUCCGGGCGUUAUCCGGAAGGACUGGGCGUAAAGGGGGCGUAGGUGGUUUAGUAAGUUGGCGGUGUAAUUCCGGGGCUCAACCUCGGCGCUACCGCCAAAACUAUUAGGCUGGAGUGCAGGAGGGGUAAGUGGAAUUCCUGGUGUAGCGGUGGAAUGCGUAGAUAUUAGGAGGAACAUCAGGGGCGAAGGCGACUUACUGGACUGUAACUGACACUGAGGCACGAAAGCGUGGGGAGCAAACAGGAUUAGAUACCCGUGUAGUC